RNAcentral lists this ribosomal RNA (491 nucleotides) under uncultured bacterium. RNAcentral's name for it is "partial 16S ribosomal RNA". It matches the Rfam family "Bacterial small subunit ribosomal RNA", at positions 29 to 507 of the family's 1533-position model. The record is from RNAcentral.
GUGAACGCUGGCGGUAGGCCUAACCCAUGCCAGUCGAACGGCAGCACAGUAAGAGCUUGCUCUUACGGGUGGCGAGUGGCGGACGGGCGAGGAAUACAUCGGAAUCUACUUUUUCGUGGGGGAUAACGUAGGGAAACUUACGCUAAUACCGCAUACGACCUACGGGUGAAAGCAGGGGAUCUUCGGACCUUGCGCGAUUGAAUGAGCCGAUGUCGGAUUAGCUAGUUGGCGGGGUAAAGGCCCACCAAGGCGACGAUCCGUAGCUGGUCUGAGAGGAUGAUCAGCCACACUGGAACUGAGACACGGUCCAGACUCCUACGGGAGGCAGCAGUGGGGAAUAUUGGACAAUGGGCGCAAGCCUGAUCCAGCCAUACCGCGUGGGUGAAGAAGGCCUUCGGGUUGUAAAGCCCUUUUGUUGGGAAAGAAAAGCAGCAGGUUAAUACCCCGCUGUUCUGACGGUACCCAAAGAAUAAGCACCGGCUAACUUCGUG